CCCUGGAUCCCACAGAGGGGCAGGGUUGUGAACGCACAUCCCAAUCUGUGGACCCGUUUAUUCAGCCUGCAGACUUUGGUCCCUCUGAACCUCCAUUGAGUGUCCCACAGCCCUUCCUCCCUGUCUUUACUAUGACCUUACUUUCCCCUGGCCCUGCCCCAGCACCUGUUCCCACUGCAUUGCCCUUAGUUUCUCCGCCUGCCCCUACCCUCAACCCCCCGACUCCACCAGCUUUCCUGCAGACACAGACGUUUGCUGGAGUCAGCACAUCAAGCCCUGUCAUUACCCACACAGCCUCUGCAACCCUUACCCAUGAUGCUUCUGCCACCACCUUCAGCCAGAGCCAGGGCCUUGUUAUCACAGCGCACCAUCCAACCCCAUCCCCAUCCCCCUGUGGUCUGGCACUGUCACCUAUACCCCAGCCACCAGCUGUGGGACCUCCCCAACCUCAUUUAACUUUUAUACACCCCAAACCUGUGUCCUUGACUGGAGUGAGACACAAGCAGCCCCCCAAAAUAGUGCCUGCUCCCAAACCUGAGGCUGUCUCCUUGGUGUUGAAGAGUGCCUGCAUUGCUCCAGCUGCCUUUACAGGCCAACCACAAAAGGUGAUCAUGACAUCAGCUCCUCUGAAGAGAGAAGGGAUUCUGGCAUCUACUGUGUCCCCAUCCAGUGUGGUCAUUGCCUCUGCUGCCAUCACCAGGCUUCUGGAGUCACGGAGUUCCUCAGCCACAGCACGAGCAGCCAGCCUAGCCCUGCCUCUCGGCUCUUCU
RNAcentral lists this long non-coding RNA (770 nucleotides) under Rattus norvegicus (Norway rat). RNAcentral's name for it is "long non-coding RNA NONRATT007968". The record is from RNAcentral. Lineage: Eukaryota; Metazoa; Chordata; Mammalia; Rodentia; Muridae.